GAUAACCCCAGAUCACGCCGGGGUUGAGGGUGGGGUUGGUGAUCAGGCGAACGUCGCCGCCACCUGGGGCCCAGGUGUCGUAGACGCCGCCGAAGAACAUGGCCUUGAAGACCAGCAGCAGGGCGCCGACGCCGAGCAGAAUCAGGUGAUAACCAAUGAUGUUGGUCAUCUGAUUCUUGUCGCGCCA
Molecule: non-coding RNA, 187 nt
Organism: Synechococcus sp. GFB01
Lineage: Bacteria; Bacillati; Cyanobacteriota; Cyanophyceae; Synechococcales; Synechococcaceae
Rfam family: Antisense RNA which regulates isiA expression
Source: Rfam